This 492-nucleotide ribosomal RNA is filed under the name uncultured bacterium. Its description in RNAcentral is "partial 16S ribosomal RNA". It matches the Rfam family "Bacterial small subunit ribosomal RNA", at positions 29 to 507 of the family's 1533-position model. The record is from RNAcentral.
AGUGAACGCUGGCGGUAGGCUUAACACAUGCAAGUCGAACGGCAGCACAGUAAGAGCUUGCUCUUACGGGUGGCGAGUGGCGUACGGGUGAGGAAUAUAUCCGAAUCUACUUUUUCGGGUGGGAUAACGUAGGUAAACUUACGCUAAUACCGCAUACGACCUGCGGGUGAAAGCAGUGGAUCUUCGCACCUUGCGCGAAUGAAUGAGCCGAUGUCGGAGUGGCUAGUUGGCGGGGUAAAGGCCCACCAAGGGGGCGAUCCGUAGCUGGUGUGAGUGGCUGGUCACCGACAUUGGAACUGAGACGCGGACCAUGGUACUACGGGAGGGAGCAGAGGGGAAUAUUGGGCAGCGGUCGCAAGCCUUGUCCAGCCAUACCGAGUGGGUGGAGGAGGCCUUGCGGUUGUAAAGCCCUUUUGUUGGGAAAGAAAAGCAGCAGGUUAAUACCCCGCUGUUCUGACGGUACCCAGUAAAUAAGCACCGGCUAACUUCGUG